UUGGAUUACUGUGCACUUCUGGAUCACAGACUGUAAGUAUUCAUGUUUAUUAUUUGCCUUUUACUGUACAUUACGUAACCGGUAACCGGAGAUUAACAUAAUGUGCGUGUAGAGCUAAGCUUGCAAGCUAAUUGUUUUGUGUUGUAAUACUGUAUUUCAUAAACAACGUACCAUAUUUACACACGUGUAUGUUGAAUUAUGCAUGCUUUCGUUUUUUUUAUCGAUGUUGGUUUAGACAUGUUUACAAACUUGCUAAGAUAAAUACAAAUACAAAUGCCAGCUAAACUGUUACCGGUAAAAUUUGUUCUCAUGAUCAAACUCAAGAAACUCUAAGUACAGAUGAUUUGUUUAAAGUUAUAUGUAUUUUACUGUUGUAUUUACUUGAAGCUUUCUUAGAUUUUGAAACGAAGUAAACACGUAAUGUGUGUUGCUAAUGUUGGGCCAUGUAAUAUGUAAUACAUUAACGUUUUAAUGAAUAGUCUAACGAUUUAUAGUCGUUGUACUCUAUUGUUAUAAUAUUUCUUUUUGACUGAAUACAUGUUUGUUUUAUUUGUCUAUAUCCUAGAUUCGCAGCUGUACACAUCCUUCUACACUGUAUGCAAACAUGCAACAUCAUUACACACAGUACAAGGAGUCAGACUGGCAUAUGAGGAGCAAAGGAACCCAGGCAGUAGCAUCGUUUCACAAUGUUUCCAUCACCAUCAUCAGUGGAUGCCUUUGCCGUCCGUAGCCUGAGAUUUCAGAUUUGCAGCAAAAAAAAUUGAUUUUCUCAUUUAUUGGAAUGCUGUGCAGGUAUUUGUACCUUGCAGCCAUCCAUUACAAUGUCACCAAGCCGUAACAAAAGCAGGAGAGGGAAAGUACAAGGCUAUGUUCCCAAAACACACAAGUGACAUACCGUAAGCAGUAAUGUUUUAUUUCAAAUACAUUCAUAAUUAAAAACUUAAUGUAUGAAGCAGGGAAAUAAAUGAUCAAAACAAAAGAUUUAUUGACUGCAAUAUUUCUACAGUUAUGUGGAUGAUGUGAUCAGGCUUGUGUUUGAUGAGGUAUUUGAAGAUAAGCUGAAGGAAACCCCGAUUCCAAUGGACCUGGCAUCACAAUUUGAGAGACCUUCAAAGGAGGACGUGAUUGCAUGCCAUCUUCAGUGCAGGGGUCGUCGAAAGCCAAAAUUGUGACCGAUCUGAUCAGGAAGCUCCAAGCGUAUCUGGAGAACAACAGACGACAGGAUGAUAACCUUAUAGUGUCGUCUUAAAUAGCACCAGCUGACAAAGCUUUGCUGUGCUAUUUAUCUGAAUAGAUAGCUGUAAGAAAUGAAUUGAACAAUUUUUGAA
Non-coding RNA from Paramisgurnus dabryanus, 1328 nucleotides. The record is from RefSeq and is a predicted model, not a curated record. NCBI's taxonomy places the organism in Eukaryota, Metazoa, Chordata, Actinopteri, Cypriniformes, Cobitidae.